RNAcentral lists this ribosomal RNA (1372 nucleotides) under uncultured bacterium. RNAcentral describes it as "bacterial SSU rRNA". It matches the Rfam family "Bacterial small subunit ribosomal RNA", at positions 28 to 1381 of the family's 1533-position model. The record is from RNAcentral.
GAUAAACGCUGGCGGCGUGCCUAAUACAUGCAAGUCGAGCGAACGGACGAGAAGCUUGCUUCUCUGAUGUUAGCGGCGGACGGGUGAGUAACACGUGGAUAACCUACCUAUAAGACUGGGAUAACUUCGGGAAACCGGAGCUAAUACCGGAUAAUAUUUUGAACCGCAUGGUUCAAAAGUGAAAGACGGUCUUGCUGUCACUUAUAGAUGGAUCCGCGCUGCAUUAGCUAGUUGGUAAGGUAACGGCUUACCAAGGCAACGAUGCAUAGCCGACCUGAGAGGGUGAUCGGCCACACUGGAACUGAGACACGGUCCAGACUCCUACGGGAGGCAGCAGUAGGGAAUCUUCCGCAAUGGGCGAAAGCCUGACGGAGCAACGCCGCGUGAGUGAUGAAGGUCUUCGGAUCGUAAAACUCUGUUAUUAGGGAAGAACAUAUGUGUAAGUAACUGUGCACAUCUUGACGGUACCUAAUCAGAAAGCCACGGCUAACUACGUGCCAGCAGCCGCGGUAAUACGUAGGUGGCAAGCGUUAUCCGGAAUUAUUGGGCGCAAAGCGCGCGUAGGCGGUUUUUUAAGUCUGAUGUGAAAGCCCACGGCUCAACCGUGGAGGGUCAUUGGAAACUGGAAAACUUGAGUGCAGAAGAGGAAAGUGGGAUUCCAUGUGUAGCGGUGAAAUGCGCAGAGAUAUGGAGGAACACCAGUGGCGAAGGCGACUUUCUGGUCUGUAACUGACGCUGAUGUGCGAAAGCGUGGGGAUCAAACAGGAUUAGAUACCCUGGUAGUCCACGCCGUAAACGAUGAGUGCUAAGUGUUAGGGGGUUUCCGCCCCUUAGUGCUGCAGCUAACGCAUUAAGCACUCCGCCUGGGGAGUACGACCGCAAGGUUGAAACUCAAAGGAAUUGACGGGGACCCGCACAAGCGGUGGAGCAUGUGGUUUAAUUCGAAGCAACGCGAAGAACCUUACCAAAUCUUGACAUCCUUUGACAACUCUAGAGAUAGAGCCUUCCCCUUCGGGGGACAAAGUGACAGGUGGUGCAUGGUUGUCGUCAGCUCGUGUCGUGAGAUGUUGGGUUAAGUCCCGCAACGAGCGCAACCCUUAAGCUUAGUUGCCAUCAUUAAGUUGGGCACUCUAAGUUGACUGCCGGUGACAAACCGGAGGAAGGUGGGGAUGACGUCAAAUCAUCAUGCCCCUUAUGAUUUGGGCUACACACGUGCUACAAUGGACAAUACAAAGGGCAGCGAAACCGCGAGGUCAAGCAAAUCCCAUAAAGUUGUUCUCAGUUCGGAUUGUAGUCUGCAACUCGACUACAUGAAGCUGGAAUCGCUAGUAAUCGUAGAUCAGCAUGCUACGGUGAAUACGUUCCCGGGUCU